This 503-nucleotide ribosomal RNA is filed under the name uncultured bacterium. Its description in RNAcentral is "bacterial SSU rRNA". It matches the Rfam family "Bacterial small subunit ribosomal RNA", at positions 8 to 522 of the family's 1533-position model. The record is from RNAcentral.
AGAGUUUGAUUAUGGCUCAGGAUGAACGCUGGCGGCGUGCUUAACACAUGCAAGUCGAACGGGCUCAUAUUGAAACCUAGUGAUGUAUGAGUUAGUGGCGGACGGGUGAGUAACGCGUGGAGAACCUGCCGUAUACUGGGGGAUAACACUUAGAAAUAGGUGCUAAUACCGCAUAAGCGCACAGCUUCGCAUGAAGCAGUGUGAAAAACUCCGGUGGUAUACGAUGGAUCCGCGUCUGAUUAGCUGGUUGGCGGGGUAACAGCCCACCAAGGCGACGAUCAGUAGCCGGCCUGAGAGGGUGAACGGCCACAUUGGGACUGAGACACGGCCCGAACUCCUACGGGAGGCAGCAGUGGGGAAUAUUGCACAAUGGGGGAAACCCUGAUGCAGCGACGCCGCGUGAGUGAAGAAGUAUUUCGGUAUGUAAAGCUCUAUCAGCAGGGAAGAAAAUGACGGUACCUGACUAAGAAGCCCCGGCUAACUACGUGCCAACAGCCGCGGUA